UCUUCGCAGCUGUUGACAUCGCUUGGCUUUACUUUUUCACGAAGCUCGCGCUUUCAAGAGAGGCUAUUUUCGAAAGUCACACAGCUAUUUUGUAUGAUGUGAUUCUAUUUUCAACCAUUACCGAUCGGCCAAACGAGUUUUUGCCUCUACUCGACGAGGAAAGUUUUGAUUUUUCGUAACGUCUCCUCUUUGAUAUUCAAGAACGUGUACCCCGCGCAGGCGGUGCAGCAAGAUUUCGUUUAUCCACCGCUUGAACCACAAUUUAUUGCGAACGGGGAGUUUUUCCCAACCACACUUUCUCGUUAUUGGCAAUCGCCGGCGGAUAUCACAUUUUUACGGCAUGAUACCAUUGGGAAACCGGGAGGAUCGCUUAUAACACAAGUUUUCGCAUCGGGAGGUCCUGCUUACGACUGGUUCAGGUGCGCUGCUUAUUCGUUGACGUCUUUUUUUGUCAAGUUCAAUAUUCACAAGCAGGAACGAGUCCACUGUGAACGAUCUUUCGUGGCCGGGUUUUUUACCGAACGUCGCGCAAAUUAUUCCGC
This 542-nucleotide long non-coding RNA is filed under the name Micromonas pusilla. RNAcentral describes it as "long non-coding RNA (MPUS_LNC000199)". Lineage: Eukaryota; Viridiplantae; Chlorophyta; Mamiellophyceae; Mamiellales; Mamiellaceae. The record is from RNAcentral.